AGAUACCCGCGUAGUCCUAGCCGUAAACGAUACUCGCUAGGUGUCGGCCACGGUGCGACCGUUGUCGGUGCCGUAGGGAAGCCGUGAAGCGAGCCACCUGGGAAGUACGGCCGCAAGGCUGAAACUUAAAGGAAUUGGCGGGGGAGCACCACAACGGGUGGAGCUUGCGGUUUAAUUGGAUUCAACGCCGGGAAUCUUACCGGGACCGACAGCAACAUGAAGGCCAAGCUGAAGACUUUGCCGGAUUAGCUG
Molecule: ribosomal RNA, 252 nt
Filed under: uncultured archaeon
Lineage: Archaea
Description: partial 16S ribosomal RNA
Rfam family: Archaeal small subunit ribosomal RNA
Source: RNAcentral